UACGGAGGGUGCGAGCGUUGUCCGGAAUCAUUGGGCGUAAAGGGCGCGUAGGUGGCGGGACAAGCGUGCGGUGAAAGCUUGGGGCUCAACCCCGAGUCGGCCGUGCGAACUGUCUUGCUUGAGCACUGUAGAGGCAGGCGGAAUUCCGGGUGUAGCGGUGGAAUGCGUAGAGAUCCGGAAGAACACCGGUGGCGAAGGCGGCCUGCUGGGCAGUAGCUGACACUGAGGCGCGACAGCGUGGGGAGCAAGACGG
Molecule: ribosomal RNA, 253 nt
Filed under: uncultured bacterium
Lineage: Bacteria
Description: partial 16S ribosomal RNA
Rfam family: Bacterial small subunit ribosomal RNA
Source: RNAcentral